Molecule: long non-coding RNA, 934 nt
Organism: Rosa chinensis
Lineage: Eukaryota; Viridiplantae; Streptophyta; Magnoliopsida; Rosales; Rosaceae
Exons: 4
Source: RefSeq, a predicted model, not a curated record
CCAAAAAAGGAAGCUUUAUACCAAACUGGAAACUUUUUCAAAAAAUCAUAAUUAAUUCAUACGAACUCCGAUUUUUGUGUUCCGCAUAGGCACGCGAUCGUAUCGACGAGCUCUACAACUUUCAUGAAGGAAGUUUUCCCAAAUUCGUGAGGUUUUUGCGAAUUCGCCCUUCUUUAUUUCAGCAGAGGUUGCUGGUGCAUUAGAUGGAGGGAAUAAUGAUGAUUACAAAGAGACAAAUGUUGCUGCCGGUAAAACACAUGGGGUUUCUCUGUCUGUGGACUCAAUAAAUUCGUAUAUUGCUUGGGAUUUUUAGCUUGUGCAAGGGAAGAUAAACUUGGUAUCGUUCCUAAAUUUCAUUUAAUUACUCGGUGAAUGUGUUUCUUCUUUCAUAGCCUGAUGAAGUAUUCUUUCAUCUAUGAUGUGAAUGCUCUGGCCUUCUUCAUUUCCUGUAGUUCUCCGUUGUGUAACUCGUGCUAUUUUCUUGUAUGCCUUGUUUGUUUGGAAUGAGAUUGGUAAUGAGUCCAAUAAAAGUUAUUGAUGAAAUGGCAAAUUUUAAACUGUAUGAAGAUUGUGUGAGGAUGUUGGGUUGGAAUAUUCACUUUCUAGUCAUUGUUCGACCCAAGGUUGCCAUUAUGAGUACUAUGAGGUUGAAUAUAGCAAAAAAGUGCUCGCUUUUCAGAUUCUCUAGGAAAUUUGGCUGCGUAGUUGUAUAAUGAUAUCCUUGUGAAGAUUAUCUUUUUAUUCAUCUCUUUAUUCUGACAAGAUCACCCGGUUUUGAACAGAUGCCUUUUAGUUAUUUUCUGAGAUAAUAUUUACUUCUGAUAUAACAUUAUGAAUGAUAUAUGUUAUUCGUCUUGUGAAUGACCUUUAGACAUUACCCAAACCCCUAUGUUUGAUAGUACUUUAGUAGUUCUUGAAUGUAUAUUAUCUUUGA